Non-coding RNA from Acanthosepion pharaonis, 114 nucleotides. Lineage: Eukaryota; Metazoa; Mollusca; Cephalopoda; Sepiida; Sepiidae. The record is from the annotation of a GenBank genome assembly.
UUACGGCCAUAUCACGUUGAAACACCGCUUCUCGUACGAUCAGCGAAGUUAAACAACAUCGAGCCUGGUUAGUAACUAGAUGAGUGACCGCUUGAGAAGACGAGGUGUUGUAAG